GCUGCCAGUGCUGCAACUGCUUAGCAGGUGCGGCUGUUAGGCAUGGUCAGCACACCGCAAGGUUGGUGGUUCAAAUCCACCUGGUAGCG
Zopfochytrium polystomum is the source of this 89-nucleotide non-coding RNA. The record is from the annotation of a GenBank genome assembly. NCBI's taxonomy places the organism in Eukaryota, Fungi, Chytridiomycota, Chytridiomycetes, Chytridiales, Chytridiaceae.